GGGAACAAACAGUUCCGGGGACGGGGACGUCACUCGGCAGCAGCUCCGCACUGCCAUUGGUCAGCGGGAGCGAUGACGCCAUUAGGGGGAGGGACGCGAAGCGGGGAGCGUCCAUUGCGCGGCUCAAAGCGGGGGAGUCUCCUCUCCCCCCCGGUGCCCGGAGCGUUGGUGCGGCCCGGCGCGCGGGGCCGGUGGGCGUGAGGGGAGAGCGGCUCGGGGAGUGUGAGGACGGCUUCAGUUACAGCCGCGGCACCAUAAAAAACAAAGCAGAAAAUUAGUGACUUCGUCCAGGGGUUGAGGACAUCCUGUAGAAAUAGAGGCUGUGUAUUCCACCCUGAGAGAAUUCUCUGGCAGCGGGCGGUCUGGAGUCACCCACUGCAGAGGACAAGGGCUGCUGUGGCUGUACGAGCGGUGAAACACAGGGGCAAAAUGAAGAGCAAACUUUGCAUAGUCUACAGUACCCACACUGCACAUUCAACCCCAAGAGACCAACUGGCUAAACCCUUUCAAGACUGCAAAAUGGAAUUUAUGCCAUUUCUGAUUGAAGCUUAAGAAAUAAAUAAGAGGCAUAAAAAUAUGAGCUGGAAAAAUCUGGUUGAAUCUCUAUGGACCUUGCUGUAUAUCUAUAUAUAGAAUAGAAUCACAGAAUGGUUUAGGUAGGAAAGGACCUUCAAAAGCUUGUUUUUUUCCACCCCCUGCCACAGCCUGGGAUACCUGCUACAGUUUGCUCCUGGCCUUCAACAUUCCAGAAUCUACGUGGUUUCCACAGCACAAGAGCAGCACUGUAAUUACUACAGUUCUCACGUUACGGAACAGCAUCAUCCUUUUAAGUCUAGAUGGCAGCCUUGAAUACCAACUUAUGAAAACUAAGGUUACAAAGAAUCAGGCUUCCUCCAAAGCUUCAUUUUCAAGUUUAUAGCUUGAAGAGUUUCACUGGUACAAAGGUAAUUCUGUGUAGCCUCCUUGUGCUCCAUGCAGAGGCUGACCUUUGACACGGACGUCACUGUAUCUCUGGAAGUGGUGGUACGCAGCUUUCCAGGGGUUGCGGUAAUGACGGAGCAGCGUGAUCGGCGGCCUGGGACGCACAGGGACGUAUCUUACACCUUCCUCAUCUACAAAAGGAUCCAGAACCACAUUAUUAUUGAGGAGUAAAACCGGGCUGGCACCCACAAGAACUCCAGAAGCAGAUCAGGCCCAGCACCGCUGACAGGGCCCCACUCAUGGUGGAUGGAGGAGCAGGUGCUGCCACGAUGGUGGUGGAAGUUGGUGGAGCAGCUGGAACAGCUCCUGGAAUGGCAGACAGUGCUGCUGCAGGCUGGGAGGUGGGACUGGCGGCCGCGAUGAUCGUCGGAAUGGCAGAGGGGGGCUGCUGGGAGGUUGGGGGCACUGUGAUAGUGGGCUGCUCACCACCCUGGUUACACACCGCCUCCAUAGACACAGGCACUGGGGUGGCCAUGGACACGUGGAUUUCAGGCUUUGGCUUGCCACUGCAGCACAAAUAAAAGCAAAGCAAAGUGA
This is a long non-coding RNA of Parus major (Great Tit), 1518 nucleotides long. RefSeq lists it as uncharacterized. The record is from RefSeq and is a predicted model, not a curated record. The transcript has 6 exons. NCBI's taxonomy places the organism in Eukaryota, Metazoa, Chordata, Aves, Passeriformes, Paridae.